Molecule: ribosomal RNA, 253 nt
Filed under: uncultured bacterium
Lineage: Bacteria
Description: partial 16S ribosomal RNA
Rfam family: Bacterial small subunit ribosomal RNA
Source: RNAcentral
AACGUAGGAACCGAGCGUUAUCCGAAUUUACUGGGCGUAAAGCGCGUGCAGGCGGUUUGGUAAGUUAGAUGUGAAAGCUCCUGGCCUAACUAGGAGAGGACGUUUAAAACUGCCAGGCUAGAGGACGGUAGAGGGGGGUGGAAUUCCCGGUGUAGUGGUGAAAUGCGUAGAUAUCGGGAGGAACACCUGUGGCGAAGGCGGCCCCCUGGGCCGUACCUGACGCUGAUACGCGAAAGCUAGGGGAGCAAACGGG